GAUCAUGGCUCAGGAUGAACGCUAGCUACAGGCUUAACACAUGCAAGUCGAGGGGCAGCGGGAAGUCAGCUUGCUGACUUUGCCGGCGACCGGCGCACGGGUGAGUAACACGUAUCCAACCUUCCCGUUACUCUGGAAUAGCCUUUCGAAAGAAAGAUUAAUACCGGAUAGUAUCGAGAGAUUGCAUGAUAACCCGAUUAAAGAUUCAUCGGUAACGGAUGGGGACCUGCGUUCCAUUAGGCAG
Molecule: ribosomal RNA, 244 nt
Filed under: uncultured bacterium
Lineage: Bacteria
Description: partial 16S ribosomal RNA
Rfam family: Bacterial small subunit ribosomal RNA
Source: RNAcentral